Molecule: long non-coding RNA, 253 nt
Filed under: Elaeis guineensis (African oil palm)
Lineage: Eukaryota; Viridiplantae; Streptophyta; Magnoliopsida; Arecales; Arecaceae
Description: long non-coding RNA (EGUI_LNC017564)
Source: RNAcentral
GGGGGAAGUACAUCUUAGAUUAUUGGAAUAGAACUUAAAGAAUUUCUUAUGUGAUUUAAAAGACUAGAGAAAACUAACAAAACUUUAUUACAAAAAAAUUAUAGAUAAAUUACAAAAUAACAAGAAAUAAAAAUGAACAAAUCUGAAAGUAUGCGAGGCAUUAUACUAUGUCGUAUUUUUAUUUUUUAUGCAAAAAAAAUUAAAAAUACCACUCUAAGAUACGACUGGGACCCUCCACCUGUGAGCACAAUCA